This 238-nucleotide unclassified non-coding RNA is filed under the name uncultured fungus. RNAcentral's name for it is "partial contains 5.8S ribosomal RNA, internal transcribed spacer 2, and large subunit ribosomal RNA". Lineage: Eukaryota; Fungi. The record is from RNAcentral.
AACGCACAUUGCGCCCCUUGGUAUUCCGGGGGGCAUGCCUGUUCGAGCGUCAUUAUGACCAAUCCAGCCUGGCUGGGUGUUGGGCCUCGCUGUACCGGCGGGCCUUAAAACUAGUGGCGGUGCUCUUAGGCUCUACGCGUAGUAAAUUUCUCGCUAUGGGGUCCUGGGAGAUGCUAGCCAACAACCCAUAAUUUCUUAGGUUGACCUCGGAUCAGGUAGGGAUACCCGCUGAACUUAA